This 1318-nucleotide ribosomal RNA is filed under the name Hierodula sp. JYZ-2020. RNAcentral describes it as "16S ribosomal RNA". The stretch from base 1071 to 1229 matches the Rfam family "Archaeal large subunit ribosomal RNA", at positions 2542 to 2701 of the family's 2987-position model. Lineage: Eukaryota; Metazoa; Arthropoda; Insecta; Mantodea; Mantidae. The record is from RNAcentral.
UAUUAAUAAAAUUGUUUUAUUUAUUUUUAUUUUUAUUAUUUUUAAUUAAAUAAAUUUAGAUUAUUGUAGAAUGAAUUGAUUAAAUUAUUUUUACUAUAGUAAAUUAGUACUGUGAAGGAAAAAUUAGUUAUAUAUUAUAAUUAAUAAAAGGUAAUUUUAUUUAUUGUAUCUUGUGUAUCAGAGUAUAUUUAAAUAGAUUAUAAAGUUUUUUUUCUCGAAUUUAAAGGAUUUAAUUGAAAAUAUUAGUUAUUGUUGCAUAAAUAUUAAUGAUUUUUAAUUGGUAAUGAAAUGUUAUUCGUUUUUAAGGAUAUCUAGUUUUUUAAUAAAUGAAUUUAAUUCAGAAAAUAUAAUUUAUUAAAUAAUUAAUUAUUUGAAUAUUUUAUGUUUUUAAUUUUAAAAGGGAUAAGCUUUUUAAAAAAUAUAAUUAUAAUAUUGUGAGUUGAGAAAGGAUUUUAUAGAUUUAGAAUUUGUUAAUGAUUAAAGGAUGUUAAAAUUUAAUUCUUUAUUUAAAUGAUUUUGGAUUUUUUAUUUAAUUUUUAUAUUAAAAUGUUAAAUUUAAUUGAGAAAUUUUAGAAAAUAUGAUUUAAUUAGUAAAAUUUUAAUUUGUUUUGUUAGGUUGAUUGAUGUGUUAAUAUGAAGAAUUAGGCAAAAAUUUUGCUCACCUGUUUAUUAAAAACAUGGUUUCUUGUAAUAUUAUUUAAGAAAUUUGACCUGCCCACUGAAUAAAUUUUUGAAGGGCCGCAGUAUAUUGACUGUGCAAAGGUAGCAUAAUCAUUAGUCUUUUAAUUGAAGGCUGGUAUGAAUGGUUGGAUGAGGUGAAUUCUGUUUUAUAUUAAUUUGUAUUGAACUUAGAUUUUGAGUAAAAAGACUUAAAUGAUAUUAAGGGACGAGAAGACCCUAUAGAGUUUAAUAAGUGUAUUAGUUAAUUGAGUUAUAAAUAUCGUUUUUGAUUAUUAUGAAAUUUAUUUAAUUGGGGUGAUUGGAAGAUAAGUGUAACUUUUCUUUAUUUUUAAUAUUUUGAUUAAUUAUUUGAUCCAUAUUUAAUGAUUAAAAGAUUAAAUUACCUUAGGGAUAACAGCAUAAUUUUUUUUGAGAGUUCUUAUCGAGAAAGGGGAUUGUGACCUCGAUGUUGGAUUAAGAUUAGUAUUGGGUGUAGAUGUUCAAUAACUAGGUCUGUUCGACCUUAAAAAUCUUACAUGAUCUGAGUUUAAACCGGCGUGAGCCAGGUUGGUUUCUAUCUUUAAUUAAUUUAAAUAUUUUAGUACGAGAGGACCAAAUAUUUGAAAUAAUUUUUAUUUUAUAGAAUAUUAUUAAUUGA